GAGAAUUAGAGCGUGGAGUGGUUCCCAGAACCUAGUAGAUCUCUAGCUGUAGGGUCCGCCUGCUUUGGUAGAAGAGCACAGCCAUUGCCAACAUGAGGUCUGGUGGGAAGGGAGCUGGGGAAACAAAUACCCUGACCACACUCUCAUCCUGCCUUCCAAUUCCCUCCCUUGCUUGCCAUUGGUCAAAUCCAACCAGAAGUCAGAGGGCAUGGAAGGUUGGUGAUGCAGUACUCAGAUAUCAGCCUGCAGGGCCACAGAGCAGAUGGGCAGGGUGGCAGCUGUGUCUGGAGGGCAGACAGAGACUGUUCAACAACACUUCUAAUCUUACCACAGACUAAUUUAUCCUCCCAAGAAGUAGGAAUGGAGUUCUCCUAAAGAUGUGGAAUCUGAGUUUGCACAGAGAGACUACAGGACUUGGAGGAGAAUAUGUAGGUGGAAGACAGCAGCGGCCAGUAUUGAAGCAGAGCCACCACCAUCAAUUCUGAUUAUUUUCCCAUUCUGUCACACAAUUGGAGAGGUCCUGCUGAGGAUCCCUGGUGCCCAGUAGGGAACACCGUGAGGAGGAGGAUUAAGAAAGGCACCCUUUCCACUGAUUUGCAUCGCCAUUUGUACAUGGAGUUUGGCUACAGCAAAAUCCGUUGCUAUCUCACCAGCUACAAGAAGCAAAGAACGAAUUGCAAUUCAUUUUUGUGCUCUAGGACCCGGUUGAGGCAAUAUUUAAAUGAUCCAGCUUCGACACAUGCUCACCACAUUUGGAAAAAUCGAGGAGUGUUAUUUAGAUCCUGCCGGAGUUCCAGAACACACCCUUCAAAGUGCUAAUGCUGUUCCAGCUCAGCAGACACCUCGUCUCGGGAAAGCCAUUAGAAACCCCCAAAAUACUACAUUUUUCUCCUGAGCUUUGAACCCUGAACCCAGCAUUCUGAGAGUGGGAACCAGAAAUGUGCAUUUGAAAAGACUCCCCAGGCAAUUCUGAUGAGGAGCCAGUGAGCCUGCUGAACCAGGUGACUACUGACAUCUCUUCUUUGAGUGACUUUCGACCAUCCCACAAAUGUCUGCUCGACGGUGUCCUGGAAGAGCUGGGUCAUGGCUCUCAUUACACACUACUCAGCAUCAUACACCAGGUUGUAUCACACAUCUCAUUCACACUACUGAGCAUCAUACACCAGGCUGUAUCACACUUUGUCCGGACUUCAUGAGUCUUCCAGUACAGUGAUGGGACGUAGGUUUUCUAGACUUGCCUAUGGGCUUCUCCUCUUUCCUAAUGAAGCUUCCACUCAUCCAAACGUCCUUUGAGGAGGAAAUUUAUCCAACUCACUCCACUGCAAAAGCUGGAGAACUGACAAGAUUCUUCCUGACCACUUCAGUGGCUAUGAUUAUAGGCAGUAUUGUGGUUUUCAUUUGCAAAAUGAGGAAUAAAGCUGCAGACAUUUCCAGUACUAGAAAUGGUCUGUUUGUAGCAUGAAGGUGCAUAUUCAUUUCUUUUUCUUUUUUCCUGACCCUUAAUCAUUUAUUACAUUUUUCUCCUGUUAAACAAGCUAUAUAGGCUGAAUACAAAGAAGUUUGAAAACACAGAAAGGUAAAAAAAUUAAAUUAAAUUAAGAUCAUCUGAAAUGUUAACUUCAAGAGAAAGUUAACAACUGUGAGCAUUCUGGUUUGUAUAUUCUUGCAGUCUUAUUUAAUUAAUUGCAUUUAUGUACUUUAAAAAAAGUAGAAUUAUAUUGUAUAUAUGGCUUUGAUUUCUUAAAAAUUAACAUUGUGAACAUGUGCAAGGAGUGUUUCUUAAAUUGCUCUUUCCAUUGUCACUUUUACUGGAGAUUAAAGUCUCAAAGUACAUUUUUUGACUUAGCAGAGGGAGAGCUGAGAUGUCUCAUUAAAGCUUGGCCGAGCGCCUUCUGUUACUGCUUAUUUACAUAAGUAGCUUUCCUAAAAUCAACGGCUCCCAUGAACAAGACAUAUAUAUUAAUGCCUCACAGUCCAAUAUAUGAUGAGAUAAAUGACCACUGCUUCCUUAUAUAAUGCGCACACACUUGCCUGAGACAAGUCAGCUGUUCUGAAACACAAGAUUAGGAAAUUCAAUUUCAUGUAUACAUUUCCAUGAAUCAAAAGUCAAAAUCAAAGGACAACCUUCUGUGUUACAGUGAACUCUGGAAGUAAGUGUAAAUAAGAUAAUAAGAUAUGCCCUACUUUGUUGUCAUCUUUUUUUUUUUUUUUGCUUUUUGUUUUUUGUUUGUUUUGAGAUGGAGUCUCACUCCGUCACCCAGGCUGGAGUGAAGUGGUGCAAUCUCGGCCCACUGCAACCUCCACCUCCUGGGUUCAAGCAAUUCUCAUGCCUCAGCCUCCCAAGUAGCUGUGAUUACAGGCGUGUGCCACCACGCCUAGCUAAUUUUUUGUAUUUUUACUAGAGACAGGGUUUCACCAUGUUGGCCAGGCUGGUCUUGAACUCUUAACCUCAGGUGAUCUGCCUGCUUCAGCCUCCCAAAGUGCUGAGAUUACAGGUGUGAGCCACUACACCUGGCCAGCUAUGCCCCACUUUGAACAAACAUUGCUAGAAUCUGGAAGAAUCUUCUGUUAGCCAAGGAUUGCUUUUGAGGUUCACUCCAAAAACUGAGCUACCACCGGGGACAAAUGGUCUCAUAAUUUUGAGUGUGUAAAGUGCAGCGAUUCCAGCUCAUGAGCACUAAUAUAAUUUUGGAAACAAUAUACCCACAACAGGCAUCGUCUAGAAAACUAACAGGAUCUCUUUUCCACUAGAGUGUAUUGUUGUUGACUAAGUGUUUUCAGUUAUUAAGCUGGAAGAGACAUGCUGGGGAGAAUGCUUUGGAGGAACAAGUAAGCACAGAACACAGAGAAUCAGGAAUGAAGCAUCCACACAGUCCAUCCAAGCAUACUGUGAAUCAAAACACAUGUCAUAGCUGGAACGAAAGCAUUAGGACCAUCUAACUGGAUUCCACUGGAAUGAGUCUCUGUGAAACCAUGCCGAAGUCUUUGUAAACAACCACCCUAAAGAAAGCUACAUGAAGAAUAGCCAAUAACAAAAGCACUGGAUUUAACUCAAUUUUGUGAAAAAACAAAAAAAACAAAUAUGAUGCACACACUCUAUCCUUUUGUGAACAAAAUGCCACCAAACAUUUGAAACUGGCCUAAGCAUACAUUGACAUGUUUGACAUGAAGCCCAGCCUUAUUGAUCAGCCUUUCCAAUACCCCCCGCCCCCCAUUCUUUAUUCCCAAUAGAUACAUCUUCUCACAGGUAAUUGGGCAGAAAAAUGCUUAUUGACUGAUCUUGAAAACUUCAAUGCAUCUAAAGCUGGAGAACAUUCAAAAACCAUGCUUCUCUUUAUUUAUUUCAGUUUCCAUGGCAAGAGGAAAAUAAAAGGCAACUGUUUUGAAAGCAACAACAGUAAACGAAGCAACAUCUCUGGCAAGCAGGCAAACCUUAAAGAGUAAAAGUUAUAAAUCCCCAUGUAGACAAUACCUUGUAGGUAUACCUUCCCCCAACCACGGGGAUGACUCUUAAUGGUGCUGACUAGGUAUAGACACCAACUUGGGACCAGUAAGUUAUUCUUAGAAGGUGCUAACUUUUGUAUUUUCUUUUAGGUUCUUGCUGCUAUGUUUCUCUUUCAAUUGACUUCCAGAAAUCAGACAGUGAAAUCAAUGGGGCUUUCCAGGCCACUGAAUUCAAAGUAAUCAGGGCAGGGUCAGAAUGCUGAUUGACUGUUUUCAACACACAGGGACCUGGAAUUUGGGUUCUAGCUCUAUCCCUCAGCACAGAGUCAGCAGACACAAUGCCCUAGAUGGUUGGAUUUUCUAGUGUCUGUGACAGGCAUCUUCAAAGCUGAUUCCUCUCCCUCUGAGAAAUCAAGGCCACCACCUUUAACUACUGACACAGUAGUGUACUUCCCGUACUGCAACCUCAGUCCCUUUUGUCACUUUUGCUUUGCAUUCAAGUGCCUUGGCCAGUGUUAACUGCAGCACUUUGAUUUCUCUUUCUAUAAAGACUAUCAAGUACCAAGUCAUUUGUUUCUGCAACCAUGUAACCCAAGGACAUAUUCUCCUGGAUGAAAUUCCAAGACCCCCCCCGCCACCAGAAGUCAGUGGAGAAUAGGCACAGAAAAGAUGAUGAAGGUCAUAGUUUCUAAUAAUUUGUUUUCUUUUUAAAAAAAAUUUUUAAUUUUUAUUUUUUUGAGACAGAAUCUCACUCCGUCACCCAGGCUGGGGUAUGGUGGCAUGAUCUCGGCUCACAGCAACCUCUGCCUUCCAGGUUUAAGUGAUUCUCCUGCCUCAGCCUCCUGAGUAGCUGGGAUUACAGCCGCAUGCCACCACGCCCAGCUAAUCGUUUGUAUUUUUAGUAGACACGGGGUUUCACCAUGUUGGCCAGACUGGUCUCGAACUCCUGACCUCAAGCGAUCUACCUGCCUUGGCCUUCCAGAGUGCUGGGAUUACAGGCAUGAGCCACCAAGCCCA
Molecule: long non-coding RNA, 4461 nt
Filed under: Homo sapiens (human)
Lineage: Eukaryota; Metazoa; Chordata; Mammalia; Primates; Hominidae
Description: HSALNT0174015
Source: RNAcentral